GACGAACGCUGGCGGCGCGCUUAACACAUGCAAGUCGAACGGAAAGGCCUGCUUUCCCUUGUGGAUUGCGGGUACUCGAGUGGCGAACGGGUGAGUAACACGUGAGUGAUCUGCCCCCAACUUGGGUAUAAGCCUGGGAAACUGGGUCUAAUUCCCGAUAGGACUGCAGGGUGGUGCCUGUGGUGGAAAACGAUUUUCUAGUGGUUGGGGAUGAGCUCGCGGCCUAUCAGCUUGUUGGUGGGGUAAUGGCCUGCCAAGGCGGCGACGGGUAGCCAGCCUGGGAUGGUGGACGGGGACAUUGAGACUGAGUUACGACCCAGACGCCUAGGGGAGGCAGCAGUGGGGAAGAGUGGAAGCUGGGCGGAAGCCUGAUGCAGCGACGCCGCGUGGGGGAUGACGGGCUUCGGGUUGUAAACUCCUUUCGACCGAGAGGAAGCCACCUGGUUGGAAGGGUGGUGACGGUAGUGGUAGAAGAAGCACCGGCUAACUACGUG
Molecule: ribosomal RNA, 494 nt
Filed under: uncultured bacterium
Lineage: Bacteria
Description: partial 16S ribosomal RNA
Rfam family: Bacterial small subunit ribosomal RNA
Source: RNAcentral